UAUGAGAUCAUGUUGGCUGAAACCAUCCCUAGCAAGUGAGGUAUAAAGUACUAAAUCACAAAUUAAAAACAAUACCUAUUAGACCUCAGAACCUGAACACCUCUGCCAUCCCUUCUGACUGCAUCCAAUUUAAGGGAAGAAAUUGUGAGAUAUUACAAAUAUAUUAGAAAUUGGGGGUUGUAAUUGAAAUGUAUUAUCUUCCCAAUAAAUUUCGUGUCGUGGUGCA
Molecule: long non-coding RNA, 226 nt
Filed under: Monodelphis domestica (gray short-tailed opossum)
Lineage: Eukaryota; Metazoa; Chordata; Mammalia; Didelphimorphia; Didelphidae
Description: lncRNA (ENSMODG00000035714.2)
Source: RNAcentral